Cyprinus carpio (common carp) is the source of this 2559-nucleotide long non-coding RNA. The record is from Ensembl. Lineage: Eukaryota; Metazoa; Chordata; Actinopteri; Cypriniformes; Cyprinidae.
UUAGCAGCAUCCUCAUUUCAGAUCACAACAUGAUGUUCUCUCUUAUUCCAUUUCGAUGUCCAAAUGCUCCAGGAACCAGGUCUGUCCGCACACAUCAGUAUCCCACAGCUAGCAGGUCAGAGCGUUUUACUUGAGAGCUUUAAGCUGAACAGUGUGUGUUUAGGACUCGUAGGUUAUUUUAACCUUUAAGGUCACAUUUGAACUACAGGAGAACAUUGAUGCAAAUGUAUUGGAUUUUGCUAGGCUUCAGGUAAGUCACUCUGAUUCGACACGUUGACCAACAGAAAGCUGGUUUCUGGUUAAACUGUGUUAAACUGUAACAUUUUUCAGUUUAUUUUUCUAUAGCGAUACACUACGAAAUAAUAUUAUAUAAAGUAUUUUUUACAACAAAUUCACGAAAUAAUAUAAUAUAUGGUUCAUUAAUGUUCAUCAAAUUCUGUCACUUUUGUUGAGAUCCAUACAGUAAGUGUUUUUGUAGCAGAUAAAUACUGAUUCUGAUUUCUUUUUAUCAAUGUUGAAAACAGGUGUGCUGCUUAAUAAUUUUGUGGAAACUGUGAUAUAUUUUCUUCCUUACAUUCAGGAUACUUUGAUGAAUAGAAAGUUGAAAUGAACUGCAUUUAUUUUAAUCUUUGGUGUUGGUGUUGCAGAGGAGGACUGGUCCAGACUAGUAGUGCUAUCUCCUCUCUUCCAGCUGAUGAAGGAAGUGGAGCAGCAGCUCAGGGAUAGUGCCAGAGAUAGAGGCCUUCUCAAGAUCCAGCCCUCGGGUCAGGCUCUAAUUAUCACCACUGAAAUGUGCAAUCUGGACUCGUCAGACCUGCAAAGUCAUUAGUGCAGCAACAGAUGACUUAAAGCCAUGAGAACCAUCACGUACAUGUGCAGGCCUGUCAUUCGUGGAUUUCAUGGAUGCUCAGUAGGAGUGUGAGGGAGAGCUGGAUCAAGUCAACUCUGAAACACUCAAUCCACGACAGCUUCUGCUCUACUAGCAUGGACAGUUUCUCCUCCAGCAUCUUCACUUACAUAAAAUAUAACAGCAGUACCCCUUCAACUGGCUUCUACUCUUCGUUUCGUGACUACCAUAACAAACUCUUUCUAUUAUCAGGAGGGACAGAAGACCCUGUUUGUUCACUGUCAGAGGUUGCAGUCAGUGGGAGGCCUCUCUCUGCUGCUAAUGCACUGUGCUCCACACAUUUCCACUGGUCAGAUGAGGACAGACUCCACUCCCACCUUCCAAAGGGCCUUAUUCAAAGUGCAGUUAGCAAUGCCAGCACAGCCUGAACAAACCAAGAAAGAAUGUGCUAAUGAGUCUUUCUUAUAGACAUCAUCCCCUGUCCCAUUAUGCAGGUUUUACAGGUGGGCCUAAGUGAGCUGUUCCAUGCCAGACUGGGACAAACUGAUGACGAGAGGACAAAAGAUUUGGCAUCUGACGCAGCUCUCAAUAGUCUUCUGCUGGAAAGAGUGCAGAAGCCAAGUCCUGGGGUUUUCUCAGAGGAUGGAAGUUUGAUUUAUUUCGCCAUAUUCACCCCUCGUGUUCUCAGUAGCUGUUGCCAAGUAAUUCACAGGGAUGUAACAGAUGCCGUAGGAUCAGACUGAUGUGGCAUAACUAAUACUUGUCGGAGUGUGAGAUUUCGAAUGUGUGCUGUUCUCUGGGCAGGAGGUUUUGGGACGUCUGCGCAAAUACAGAGAGGCCUCAGUGUUCCACCAGGUGGAGAGUCUCCUGAAAGUGUCUCCUAAGAGCAUAAAGAUCAAGCACCUCAACACUGACCCGUCACUCAGCGAUGGCCCAGACAGCCAAGAUGCCGCUCCUCCAUGAACUGACAAUUUAACUUUGAACAGUGCUGCCUUUCUGACAGUGAUAAAUCCAGCUUUCAAAGGCAUUUUUUUUAGGCUGCGAGGUAGCGGAUGGCCUUAUCGUCUUGAAUGUUAAUGGCUCCUGGACUGGGUUAGAGCAUCUAGUUUUGCUUCCGGUGGUGACUCAGCACAGCUAGAACAAAAGUUUUAUAAAAUGGCUAUAAGAAAACACAUUAAAAUUGACAUAAAACUGCAUAGGUCCAACAAGCAGGCCUCUGUUUAAUGCAGUUUUAAUGUAAUUUUUGAGGAUAAGGGCAUGUUACACAAUUUGACCAUGUUGGUAUCUACCUAAUCUGACUAGCUUCCACCAAAUGACACAAAUUUGCACCAGAAUAGUUAUGCCGGUGAACCUCUUAACCUCAGUCAAUUUACUGUGGAGAAAGUGAAAGUAAAAAAUGGACAGAGCUUUCUAACGCUGCAUUAACGGUGCAUAUUCUGUCAGAGAUUAUAAAUUAAUGUAUAUAACGGUCUUAAAUUAUUCCCUUAAUAUUUCUCUUGUGGCCCUUGAAAAACAUGAGAAGAAAUGUACUGUUUUGCGUUAAACAUGUUAUUUUUGAAAAUUGGUGCAUGAAACAGCUGCUCUUAAUUUUCACUGAGGACAGCAGUGUUAAUCAUUUAAUUAUAGGUCUAUAAUUCAUUAUAAAAAAAACCUUUUCAAAAAAAAAAUUCAGUGAAGGAGUAAGCUAAUAAACUUAUCUUUUAUUAUCCUCA